GUGCUUAACACAUGCAAGUCGAGCGAGAUUCUGUAAACCGAUCUUCGGAAAGGUUAACAGAUGAAAGCGGCGGACGGGUGAGUAACGCGUAGGCAACCUACCUUAUACAAAGGGAUAGCCUCGGGAAACCGGGAUUAAUACCUUAUAACACUUUAGAAUCGCAUGGUUUUAAAGUCAAAGAUUUAUCGGUGUAAGAUGGGCCUGCGUCUGAUUAGCUAGUUGGUGGGGUAACGGCUCACCAAGGCAACGAUCAGUAGCCGACCUGAGAGGGUGAUCGGCCACACUGGAACUGAGACACGGUCCAGACUCCUACGGGAGGCAGCAGUGGGGAAUAUUGCACAAUGGGCGAAAGCCUGAUGCAGCAACGCCGCGUGAGCGAUGAAGGCCUUCGGGUCGUAAAGCUCUGUCCUAAGGGAAGAAUAAAUGACGGUACCUUAGGAGGAAGCCCCGGCUAACUACGUGCCAGCAGCCGCGGUAAUACGUAGGGGGCAAGCGUUAUCCGGAAUUAUUGGGCGUAAAGAGUGCGUAGGUGGACUUGCAAGCCUUUGGUGAAAGGCUACGGCUUAACCGUAGUAAGCCUUAGGAACUGUAAGUCUUGAGUGCAGGAGAGGAAAGCGGAAUUCCUAGUGUAGCGGUGAAAUGCGUAGAUAUUAGGAGGAACACCAGUGGCGAAGGCGGCUUUCUGGACUGUAACUGACACUGAGGCACGAAAGCGUGGGGAGCAAACAGGAUUAGAUACCCUGGUAGUCCACGCCGUAAACGAUGAGUACUAGGUGUCGGGAUCGCGAGGUCUCGGUGCCGCAGCUAACGCAUUAAGUACUCCGCCUGGGGAGUACGUUCGCAAGAAUGAAACUCAAAUGAAUUGACGG
Molecule: ribosomal RNA, 869 nt
Filed under: uncultured bacterium
Lineage: Bacteria
Description: bacterial SSU rRNA
Rfam family: Bacterial small subunit ribosomal RNA
Source: RNAcentral